AAAUAGACGAGAUCGCUGGGCAUACUGGGCUCAUGAAAGAAAUGCCAGGCUCCAGACCAAAGAAAAAUUCCUGAGAAGAAAAAACUCACGCCAGUCUUCAUGCUGUGGGAUCCGGGGAUGCAUGUCCGCAGCAGUCCACCAGUUCCAAUGUAUGACAAACGGUGUCGAAGUUUGCACGGAUGGGUCCAUAACCCUGUAACAGUUUAGUAACUGGUUCCAGAUCUCCACAGUGGCUCCUUACUUACCAGGCAAGCUGGCAGGUGAUGG
This is a long non-coding RNA of Alexandromys fortis (reed vole), 267 nucleotides long. RefSeq lists it as uncharacterized. NCBI's taxonomy places the organism in Eukaryota, Metazoa, Chordata, Mammalia, Rodentia, Cricetidae. The record is from RefSeq and is a predicted model, not a curated record. The transcript has 3 exons.